UUUUAUUAGGAUCGUCUGUUAAAGAAUUCACUUUUUCUUAAAUUUUCUUUCUAAUAAUGAUGGAGAGUCAAUCUCUUGGAGC
RNAcentral lists this ribosomal RNA (82 nucleotides) under Prorocentrum minimum. Its description in RNAcentral is "partial Bacterial large subunit ribosomal RNA". Lineage: Eukaryota; Dinophyceae; Prorocentrales; Prorocentraceae. The record is from RNAcentral.